AACGAACGCUGGCGGCAGGCUUAACACAUGCAAGUCGAACGCACCUUUCGGGGUGAGUGGCAGACGGGUGAGUAACGCGUGGGAAUCUACCCUUCUCUACGGGAUAGCUCCGGGAAACUGGAAUUAAUACCGUAUACGUCCUGAGGGAGAAAGAUUUAUCGGGGAAGGAUGAGCCCGCGUUGGAUUAGAUAGUUGGUGGGGUAAAGGCCUACCAAGGCGACGAUCCAUAGCUGGUCUAAGAGGAUGAUCAGCCACAUUGGGACUGAGACACGGCCCAAACGCCUACGGGAGGCAGCAGUGGGGAAUAUUGGACAAUGGGCGCAAGCCUGAUCCAGCCAUGCCGCGUGAGUGAUGAAGGCCCUAGGGUUGUAAAGCUCUUUCAGUGGGGACGAUAAUGACGGUACCCACAGAAGAAGCCCCGGCUAACUUCGUGCCAGCCGCCGCCGUAA
This 449-nucleotide ribosomal RNA is filed under the name uncultured bacterium. Its description in RNAcentral is "partial 16S ribosomal RNA". It matches the Rfam family "Bacterial small subunit ribosomal RNA", at positions 29 to 523 of the family's 1533-position model. The record is from RNAcentral.